Alosa sapidissima (American shad) is the source of this 196-nucleotide long non-coding RNA. RefSeq lists it as uncharacterized. The record is from RefSeq and is a predicted model, not a curated record. The transcript has 3 exons. Lineage: Eukaryota; Metazoa; Chordata; Actinopteri; Clupeiformes; Clupeidae.
UUGUCGAUGUAGCCAUAAUGAUUUGUUUUCACAAAAUGCUAAGCAUGCAUGUAUUUAAGUGUCUUAAAAAGUAUGCUUAUAUUGGUCAAUGCAUAAUUUCAUAACAGGCCAAAUAGAAAAUAAAUGUUAAAUAUACUGUAGCCUAGACAUAAUAUAAAAAUCAGAUGAUGUAGGAUACACUCGACACAGCUCACCC